GGAAAGAUGAGGAAUGCUCUGGAAAAGUCAGCUUGAGACCGGUGAUCAAUGGACCCAGAGAAUGAAGAUAACCUCCUUCCCUACAGUUCUAAUCAAGCACGUCAGAAGAUGAAGAUCAAGUGUUUGGAUUAAAACAGCAAACCCUAACGUUCAAGAAAGAGGGACAAAAUUCCUGAGAUUGAAGAACAUGACGAUAUCUAUAAAUAGAGGUGGGUCUGAGCAGCGGUUAUUUAGACCCGGAAGCAGCAGCGCAUUACCCAGCAGAAUCCAACGGGUCGGUUAUCACUGCCACUCUCUGGGUCAAGUCAACCUCAUCUUCGCCUUUGUGAGAAAACUACAAUGAGAAGACAGAUACAAGAAUUGCUGAUUAUGCAUAUUCUAAAAAUAUUUCAAUGUCCACCUAAAGAAGAUAAAGACUAUAGAUCAGAGUGCUGAAACAGUCGUUUAUAAGCAAGCCCAGCUGUUCUGAAAAACUCUUACCACAAAACAUAUAUAGAAAAUAUAUAUAAGCCUACUGUAAUGUUAUCUGUAAAAAGUGUUUAAAUUAUACAACUAUUUAGAAUUAGCAUUAUUUCAGCAAAUAUUGAUUGAUUAGUUGGUGAUUAUUAAUGGUUAUUAAAUUAAAUGAAAGUCAUGACUGUGAUCUGCUGUAUAGUUUGAGGUUUUGACAUCUCAGAAAGGUUUAGUGUUUCAUAUAAACGUCUGCGUCUCACUGUACAGCUCAUACAGACAAAUAAAAACCACAAGAUAGUUUCACUUCACCAUUACAUCUGUUAACUUUACCAGAUCACUU
This is a long non-coding RNA of Paramisgurnus dabryanus, 793 nucleotides long. RefSeq lists it as uncharacterized. The record is from RefSeq and is a predicted model, not a curated record. NCBI's taxonomy places the organism in Eukaryota, Metazoa, Chordata, Actinopteri, Cypriniformes, Cobitidae.